CCUACGGGAGGCAGCAGUGAGGAAUAUUGGUCAAUGGGCGAGAGCCUGAACCAGCCAAGUCGCGUGAAGGAUGAAGGAUCUCUGGUUUGUAAACUUCUUUUAUAUGGGGAUAAAGUGAGGAACGUGUUCCUUUUUGUAUGUACCAUAUGAAUAAGCAUCGGCUAACUCCGUUCCAGCAGCCGCGGUAAUACGGAGGAUGCGAGCGUUAUCCGGAUUUAUUGGGUUUAAAGGGUGCGUAGGUGGUUAAUUAAGUCAGCGGUGAAAGUUUGUGGCUCAACCAUAAAAUUGCCGUUGAAACUGGUUGACUUGAGUAUAUUUGAGGGAGGUGGAAUGCGUGGUGUAGCGGUGAAAUGCAUAGAUAUCACGCAGAACUCCGAUUGCGAAGGCAGCUUACUAAACGAUAACUGACGCUGAAGCACGAAAGCGUGGGGAGCAAACAGGAUUAGAUACCCGAGUAGUC
This 460-nucleotide ribosomal RNA is filed under the name uncultured bacterium. Its description in RNAcentral is "partial 16S ribosomal RNA". It matches the Rfam family "Bacterial small subunit ribosomal RNA", at positions 338 to 795 of the family's 1533-position model. The record is from RNAcentral.